CCGACACAACCCGCAGUCCCUGGUCGUCUCCCUCGCAUCCUCACUCGUCUCCCCUGCGCGCCGGAGCCCUCCCUCUCGGCUCCCGCUGCGCUGGAGCUCCCCUGCUCGGCUCCCCUGCGCGUCGCCGGAGCUGCCUCGGCCCACAUCUCCACCGCGUUGCUUCCCUCUCCUUGUUCCCUUGCUCGUUCCCCAUGGUGAACCAUGGGAAGGAGAAGGCUCGAUUUUUGUUCUCGAUCUGCUCUCCGACGGCGGCGGCCUUCCCCGAGCUUGGCGAGCUGGAGCUGUCCCUUCCCGUCGUCGAUCUGCUCUCCGCGACGCCGCCUGCCUCCCCGGACCAUCCCCUCUCGCUCAGCCGCGUCUCCCUCCCUGGAGCAGCCGCUCCCGCCCAACCCAAAGCCGCCGGCCGGAGCUACGCCGCAGCACGCUCCCUCCCUCCUCUUCUUGGGGACCGGAUUGUGGCCGAGGAGGAUCUUGCCCUUGUCGCCCAGCAGCUCCCGCUCCAACGGGCUCGUCCACAAAUCCGGCAGCACCAGCCGCUCUUCCCUCUUCCGGUCUAGCCCAUCGACGACGAUGGCUCCUCCUCAUGCUCAUCGGACUCGUGCACAAGUGCUCUACAAGUCUGCAUUGGGUAAAGUCUGAAUUUUUCAUUUUUACUACCGUCAAAAUUCAGUUGACAAAGAAAGUGCCAUCAACAUGUCAGUGGCCAUGCUAGACAGAGUUCUUAUUCAUGUCUAGGCAGAGUUCUUAUUUAUGACAAAACUGGAUGUUUAGACAGAGUUCUUAUUCAUGUCUAAUUGUGUUGACAGAGUUCAAUGUACUCUGUCAAUAGAAUCAAAACUGAUUUAUUACCUUCCCAUAUGAACUUCACUGAAAAAAUCAGUCACCAUUCUGAAUUUUGACAGUACUCUACAAACUGCUCCUGGGCAGGAAGCAGAUACAGUUUUUCUAGGUGGGCGUGGUUUUGGAACAGCCAUGUCUUCUCUAAUUUUGACAGUGCUUGAGUUUAGAGUAUGGUUAUACUUUUGCUUAGGCAGGGUAAUUACUUUUCUUACUGGUGCUCUUGAUUAUGAAGAUGGUCAACUAGACACUAAGAGAUAUGGUGAGCAAUAUGCUAGCAAAGGGGAAGAUGUUGACCUCAUGUUGCUCCCUGAGCAGAUACCUUCCUAUAGAGAUCCGGUUCACAGCAAAAAACUGGUGUUGAAUUCGCCGCCGGCUCCGAGACCUCGACCGGACGGACGGAACGCGGAUUGAAAUCGUUGCUAUGGCGCCGUAUAUUAUAUGCAGUCCCACGUUUUCCUCUUCCUUUAUUUAGCUCUGGCGGCAGCACGGGCAGACGAGCAGCAGCAGUACGGGUAGACGAGCAGCAGCAGUACGGGUAGAUGAGCAGCAGCUGUACAGGCAAAGGAGCUCCACCGGCGGCAGGGGACAAGCAGUCGCACGGGCGCGCGGGCAGGGGAGAAGGAGCAGCACGAGCUUGCGCGGGAGAUUGAGGAAGACGCGCGGGAGAUCGAGGAUCACACGCGCGAGCUCCCGGUCCACUGGAUCGUGGAGGCAGGCUCCGGCGACGCCGGUAGGGGAUCGCGGCGGCGCACGCGUGGGAGCUCCAGCAGGAUGCGCGGGAGCACGAUGGAGGAUGCACGCGAGCUUGAGGAGGAUGCACGGGGGUUCCAGAAGGGACGCGCGCGGCAGGAGAUUCCGGCGAAACCCACAGGCGGCUGGAGGGGACCGUCGGCGCAGGUCUGGGCUGCGGCGGCAGAAGAGGUAAUUGGCAACGACGGCGAGAGCAUGUACUUGGCUACAGCGGAGGAGCUCAGCUGGGCUCGCCGGCCCUUGGCGAAUCACACAGCUGGGCGGCGCCGGCCCCUGGCGACGCGCAGGCGACGGGCGGAGGAAGAAGACGGGGCGGAGGGACUUGUUCGAAACGCUUUUCAAACCAUGAGGUUUUUUUUGUAAAAUAUCCAGUGAACUAUGCCCGCGACAUGUUUUCGGGACGGAGAGAGUAGUAUACAACAAUUUCAGUAUCUGCAAAUCCC
RNAcentral lists this ribosomal RNA (2033 nucleotides) under Triticum aestivum (bread wheat). RNAcentral describes it as "partial small subunit ribosomal RNA". Lineage: Eukaryota; Viridiplantae; Streptophyta; Magnoliopsida; Poales; Poaceae. The record is from RNAcentral.